CGGGUUUAUUUGUUGAAAUAAAAAAGCAUCCAAAAGGAGAUGCUGCCCUUGAUUUUAGCAUAUACAAGCAUUAAAAGGAGGUUUGAGUAUGAAUGAUUAUUUUAUCACUGCCGCCCAAAUCGACGAGAUAAAAACAUCAGAUCUUGUCCCCAACGUAUAUGAUAUACGUUGCAAGGUCAUCAACGUAUAUGACCAGGAGUAUGAGAGUGGGGCAGCAUUUUGGCCAGACGUGCAUCUUCGUAUAAUUAUUGGUUUGAUAAUAUCGCAAUUUCUACUGAUGGGAUUGAUAAGCACGAAAGAUGCUGGACAGUCAACACCUUUCCUAAUUGCACUUCCAAUCUUGACAAUUUGGUUCCAUCGAUUUCGCAAAGGACACUCUGAAUCAGCAUUCAAUAAAUUCCCAUUACAGGUUCGUAUGGAAUACUUUAUUAAAAAAAAAAGAAAAAGUGUGUCCAGUCUGCCUUUUACUUAUGAACAUAUGAUAUAUGUGUAUCAAUACUGAUCUUUGAUUACCAGGAGGAGGAGAAAAUUUAUGCAACAAGAUAUAUCAACGUGUUGUAUCUGGUGUUUUUCUGUAAGAAAAGAAACAACUAAUGUUGAGGUAUUUGAAAACCCCCCCCCCCCCCACAAAAAAAAAAAAAAAAAAUACAGGAGUUGUAGUAUAAAGGGCUCUGAUAUCAACUCUUUGGUACAAUGAAAGAGAGGAAACAUAAUUGUUCUGAGGAGUCAGAGAGAGAUGGGUCAUUUGUAGCCACUUCAGCAUCUAUUUUUGCUACCCCUAGAUCAGUCUAUCACCUAUUUUACAUUCUUACUUUUAAAGGGGCAAACUCUAGUUGCUUAGCAAAUGGAAGACAUUUACUCAAAAUGCUUCAAUACAAAACUCAUCUGGAGCACUUGUCUUCCUUGAUAACCUUGCAGCAUUGAUUGUCAUCCUCAUCUCAAAAUAACACCCCAGACUUCACCUUAAUUUUAGCACAAUCCUGUGCUGUAGCUGAGAUGUUCAGAAAGGUAGAAAUGGGUCAUCAUACUUCACGUACUUCUUAUUUGUUAGAAUCAUAUUGGACCUAUGCCCCAUCUGCUGCUGGAAAUUUGUUGUACUAAAUUCCUAUUCUAUCUUGCUCCUCUGUAAACCAAAACAUUUCUUGACUUACAUAUGUGCUAUACAAGGCAUGUGGCCUGGCUGAUCAGCACAAUGACCCAGUGUGAUUUGGGCAAGGCCCCUACCUACAAAUUUUCUGUUUCCAAUGCACGCUCUCCUUUAAUACUGCUAACUUCAAGUUGCAAAGUAGGAAACCCGACUUUCUUUUCUUAGGGACACCUCUCGAUCAAUUUGUUAAUUAUUC
This is a long non-coding RNA of Cornus florida, 1343 nucleotides long. RefSeq lists it as uncharacterized. The record is from RefSeq and is a predicted model, not a curated record. The transcript has 2 exons. NCBI's taxonomy places the organism in Eukaryota, Viridiplantae, Streptophyta, Magnoliopsida, Cornales, Cornaceae.